RNAcentral lists this transfer RNA (75 nucleotides) under Stenotrophomonas maltophilia. RNAcentral's name for it is "tRNA-Val". It matches the Rfam family "tRNA". From Rfam's summary of the family: Transfer RNA (tRNA) molecules are approximately 80 nucleotides in length. Their secondary structure includes four short double-helical elements and three loops (D, anti-codon, and T loops). RNAcentral also lists the same sequence under 111 other names. The record is from RNAcentral. Lineage: Bacteria; Pseudomonadati; Pseudomonadota; Gammaproteobacteria; Lysobacterales; Lysobacteraceae.
GGGCGGUUAGCUCAGCGGUAGAGCAUUGCCUUCACACGGCAAGGGUCGCAGGUUCGAUCCCUGCACCGCCCACCA